Molecule: long non-coding RNA, 246 nt
Organism: Athene cunicularia (burrowing owl)
Lineage: Eukaryota; Metazoa; Chordata; Aves; Strigiformes; Strigidae
Exons: 3
Source: RefSeq, a predicted model, not a curated record
CCCAUUAGUAUGCUCCAUUAAAAAGGUCUCUGCUCUUCCUGUGACCUUUGUGAAGAAGCCACACCAGCCUGUCCAACUUCAAUGGCAUUUUUCAUCACCUGAAAAUGACAUGGUCCAGUUUCGGUCACAGCGAUACCAAGCCUACAGACCCUGCUCCUUCUGCUCCGCUUUCCCUCAGCACAGCUCAUUCCAGUCCUCAUCUUCUUCCAGAAGUGAUCUGGAAAUCCUCAAACAAUUGCUGGUCUC